This 559-nucleotide small RNA is filed under the name Rhodotorula glutinis. RNAcentral's name for it is "eukaryotic LSU rRNA". It matches the Rfam family "Eukaryotic large subunit ribosomal RNA", at positions 86 to 657 of the family's 3401-position model. The record is from RNAcentral. Lineage: Eukaryota; Fungi; Basidiomycota; Microbotryomycetes; Sporidiobolales; Sporidiobolaceae.
GCGGCGAGCGAAGCGGGAAGAGCUCAAAUUUAUAAUCUGGCACCUUCGGUGUCCGAGUUGUAAUCUCUAGAAGUGUUUUCCGCGUUGGACCGCACACAAGUCUGUUGGAAUACAGCGGCAUAGUGGUGAAACCCCCGUAUAUGGUGCGGACGCCCAGCGCUUUGUGAUACACUUUCAAUGAGUCGAGUUGUUUGGGAAUGCAGCUCAAAUUGGGUGGUAAAUUCCAUCUAAAGCUAAAUAUUGGCGAGAGACCGAUAGCGAACAAGUACCGUGAGGGAAAGAUGAAAAGCACUUUGGAAAGAGAGUUAACAGUACGUGAAAUUGUUGGAAGGGAAACGCUUGAAGUCAGACUUGCUUGCCGGAGCUUGCUUCGGUUUGCAGGCCAGCAUCAGUUUUCCGGGGUGGAUAAUGACGGUUUGAAGGUAGCAGUCUCGGCUGUGUUAUAGCUUUCCGUUGGAUACAUCCUGGGGGACUGAGGAACGCAGCGUGCUUUUUGCGAAAGACUCGUCUUUUUCACGCUUAGGAUGCUGGUGGAAUGGCUUUAAACGACCCGUCUUGA